Unclassified non-coding RNA from Chinchilla lanigera (long-tailed chinchilla), 146 nucleotides. NCBI's taxonomy places the organism in Eukaryota, Metazoa, Chordata, Mammalia, Rodentia, Chinchillidae. The record is from Ensembl.
UUCCUAGAGCUGGGGGUUUCUGUAGGCACUUUAUUUCUCCACUUUCAAACGCUUGGGCUUGGCCCAACUCUUAGGCUGCCCAAUCCUGUUUCUAUUACUAAUUUAAAUCUAUGGCUUGAGCCUCUACGUGAAAAAACAAAAUCUAU